AUGGGUACGCCCUGUACGGACAAGGACAGAGAUUUGUUUGCGGCUGCCACUACAGUCACGGUUAGCAAUGGGCGUACGGCCAGAUUCUGGAACUCCUCUUGGCUGAAUGGUUUGCGCCCGCGUGACAUUGCGCCUGACAUCUUUGUUCUAUCUAAAAAGAAAAAUUGCUUGGUCCAGCAAGCUUUAUCUAACAACACUUGGAUCUCUCACAUCAACAUCUCCAAUGGCCUAACCUUCGACCACGUUCAACAGUUCGCCAACCUUUGGGAAAAGGUUGCUCAGGUCACACUUGCUGAGGAUAUGGAGGAUUCCAUUAUUUGGAAGUUCACCAAGGACGGUUUGUAUUCUUCCUCCUCGGCUUAUAAGGCGCAAUUCGAGGGCCUGACUACGUCGGACAUGGUCCAUUCGGUGUGGAAGGUGUGGGCUCCUCCAAGGUGCAAUUUUUUUCGCUUGGCUUGCUCUUCAAAAUAG
Molecule: ribosomal RNA, 471 nt
Filed under: Triticum aestivum (bread wheat)
Lineage: Eukaryota; Viridiplantae; Streptophyta; Magnoliopsida; Poales; Poaceae
Description: partial small subunit ribosomal RNA
Source: RNAcentral